This 560-nucleotide ribosomal RNA is filed under the name Theileria velifera. RNAcentral describes it as "SSU rRNA". It matches the Rfam family "Eukaryotic small subunit ribosomal RNA", at positions 530 to 1127 of the family's 1831-position model. Lineage: Eukaryota; Apicomplexa; Aconoidasida; Piroplasmida; Theileriidae. The record is from RNAcentral.
CCUCUUCCAGAGUAUCAAUUGGAGGGCAAGUCUGGUGCCAGCAGCCGCGGUAAUUCCAGCUCCAAUAGCGUAUAUUAAAAUUGUUGCAGUUAAAAAGCUCGUAGUUGAAUUUCUGCUACAUUGCCUAUUCUCCUUUACGAGUUUGGGUCUUUUGUGGCUUAUCUGGGUUCGCUUGCGUUCCCGCUGUUUUACUUUGAGAAAAUUAGAGUGCUCAAAGCAGGCUUUUGCCUUGAAUAGUUUAGCAUGGAAUAAUAAAGUAGGACUUUGGUUAUAUUUUGUUGGUUUUAGGUACCAAAGUAAUGGUUAAUAGGAACAGUUGGGGGCAUUCGUAUUUAACUGUCAGAGGUGAAAUUCUUAGAUUUGUUAAAGACGAACUACUGCGAAAGCAUUUGCCAAGGAUGUUUUCAUUAAUCAAGAACGAAAGUUAGGGGAUCGAAGACGAUCAGAUACCGUCGUAGUCCUAACCAACUAUGCCGACUAGAGAUUGGAGGUCGUCAGUUUUUACGACUCCUUCAGCACCUUGAGAGAAAUCAAAGUCUUUGGGUUCUGGGGGGAGUAUG